RNAcentral lists this ribosomal RNA (375 nucleotides) under uncultured bacterium. Its description in RNAcentral is "bacterial SSU rRNA". It matches the Rfam family "Bacterial small subunit ribosomal RNA", at positions 521 to 896 of the family's 1533-position model. The record is from RNAcentral.
UAAUACGAACUGUGCGAACGUUAUUCGGAAUCACUGGGCUUACAGGGUGCGUAGGCGGCCUUUCAAGUCAGGUGUGAAAGCCCCCGGCUCAACCGGGGAACUGCGCUUGAAACUGAAGGGCUCGAGUCAGCUAGAGGUGCACGGAACUUCCAGUGGAGCGGUGAAAUGUGUUGAUAUUGGAAGGAACACCGGAGGCGAAAGCGGUGCACUGGGGCUGGUCUGACGCUGAGGCACGAAAGCCAGGGGAGCGAACGGGAUUAGAUACCCCGGUAGUCCUGGCCGUAAACGAUGAGUGCUGGACGGAAGGGGGUUCGCCCUUUUCGGUCGGAGCGAAAGCGGGAAGCACUCCGCCUGGGGAGUAUGGUCGCAAGGCUG